Molecule: ribosomal RNA, 235 nt
Filed under: uncultured bacterium
Lineage: Bacteria
Description: partial 16S ribosomal RNA
Rfam family: Bacterial small subunit ribosomal RNA
Source: RNAcentral
GAUCAUGGCUCAGGAUGAACGCUGGCGGCGUGCCUAAUACAUGCAAGUAGAACGCUGAAGGAAGGAGCUUGCUCUUUCCGGAUGAGUUGCGAACGGGUGAGUAACGCGUAGGUAACCUGCCUGGUAGCGGGGGAUAACUAUUGGAAACGAUAGCUAAUACCGCAUAACAACAGUUGUUGCAUGAUAACUGUUUAAAAGGUGCAAUUGCACCACUACCAGAUGGACCUGCGUUGCA